UCCUGAUUAUAAACUAAAUAAAAAUUUACCAGAGUAGUAUGAAUACAAAAAUUUAAAACUCAAAGGGCUUGGCGGUGUUUUAGACCAUUUAGGGGAACCUGUCCCAUAAUCGACAAUCCACGUUACACCUAACCUUUUUUCGCCUUCAGUUUGUAUACCGUUGUCGUCAGGUAACUUUUAAAAAACUAUAAGUUAGCUAUAAAUUAAAUAAAUUAAAACGUCAAAUCAAGGUGCAGCCCAUAAAAAGGUGAGGAUGGGUUACAAUUACCAUUUAUAAUCACGAAAGAUUUUUAAAAAUAAAAAUCAGAAGGAGGACUUAAAAGUAAAUCAAACUACAAAAACAUUUUGAAUUAGGCUCUGAAACGUGC
RNAcentral lists this ribosomal RNA (368 nucleotides) under Calliclava sp. MOEA 20100546. RNAcentral's name for it is "partial small subunit ribosomal RNA". The record is from RNAcentral. Lineage: Eukaryota; Metazoa; Mollusca; Gastropoda; Neogastropoda; Drilliidae.